This 403-nucleotide ribosomal RNA is filed under the name uncultured bacterium. Its description in RNAcentral is "bacterial SSU rRNA". It matches the Rfam family "Bacterial small subunit ribosomal RNA", at positions 355 to 776 of the family's 1533-position model. The record is from RNAcentral.
UGGGGAAUAUUGCGCAAUGGGGGAAACCCUGACGCAGCAACGCCGCGUGCGGGAUGAAGGCUUUCGGGUUGUAAACCGCUUUCAGCAGGGAUGACUUCGACAGUACCUGCAGAAGAAGCCCCGGCUAACUACGUGCCAGCAGCCGCGGUAAUACGUAGGGGGCGAGCGUUAUCCGGAUUCAUUGGGCGUAAAGCGCGCGCAGGCGGACUCAUAAGCGGAGCCUUUAAUCUUGGGGCUUAACCUCAAGUCGGGCCCCGAACUGUGAGUCUCGAGUGUGGUAGGGGAAGGCGGAAUUCCCGGUGUAGCGGUGGAAUGCGCAGAUAUCGGGAAGAACACCGAUGGCGAAGGCAGCCUUCUGGGCCAUCACUGACGCUGAGGCGCGAAAGCUAGGGGAGCAAACAGG